Molecule: ribosomal RNA, 252 nt
Filed under: uncultured bacterium
Lineage: Bacteria
Description: partial 16S ribosomal RNA
Rfam family: Bacterial small subunit ribosomal RNA
Source: RNAcentral
UACGUAAGGUCCGAGCGUUGUCCGGAAUCAUUGGGCGUAAAGGGUAUGUAGGCGGAUAAGAAAGUUAGAAGUGAAAUCCUAUAGCUCAACUAUAGUAAGCUUUUAAAACUGCUAAUCUUGAGGUAUGGAAGGGAAAAUGGAAUUCCUAGUGUAGCGGUGAAAUGCGCAGAGAUUAGGAGGAAUACCGGUGGCGAAGGCGACUUUCUGGACAUUAACUGACACUGAGGUACGAAAGCGUGGGUAGCAAACAGG